This 259-nucleotide ribosomal RNA is filed under the name uncultured bacterium. RNAcentral describes it as "partial 16S ribosomal RNA". It matches the Rfam family "Bacterial small subunit ribosomal RNA", at positions 524 to 783 of the family's 1533-position model. The record is from RNAcentral.
UACGUAGGGUGCGAGCGUUGUCCGGAAUUACUGGGCGUAAAGAGCUCGUAGGUGGUUUGUCGCGUUGUUCGUGAAAACCUGAGGCUUAACCUUGGGCGUGCGGGCGAUACGGGCAGACUGGAGUACUGCAGGGGAGACUGGAAUUCCUGGUGUAGCGGUGAAAUGCGCAGAUAUCUGGAGGAACACCGGUGGCGCAAGGCGGCAUCCUGGACCAACACUGACGCUGAGGAGCGGAAAGCCAGGGGAGCAAAGCGGGGAU